This 75-nucleotide transfer RNA is filed under the name Candidatus Bathyarchaeota archaeon. RNAcentral describes it as "tRNA-Gln". It matches the Rfam family "tRNA". From Rfam's summary of the family: Transfer RNA (tRNA) molecules are approximately 80 nucleotides in length. Their secondary structure includes four short double-helical elements and three loops (D, anti-codon, and T loops). Further hydrogen bonds mediate the characteristic L-shaped molecular structure. tRNAs have two regions of fundamental functional importance: the anti-codon, which is responsible for specific mRNA codon recognition, and the 3' end, to which the tRNAs corresponding amino acid is attached (by aminoacyl-tRNA synthetases). tRNAs cope with the degeneracy of the genetic code in two manners: having more than one tRNA (with a specific anti-codon) for a particular amino acid; and 'wobble' base-pairing, i.e. permitting non-standard base-pairing at the 3rd anti-codon position. The record is from RNAcentral. Lineage: Archaea; Thermoproteati; Candidatus Bathyarchaeota.
AGCCCGGUGGUGUAGCGGAAGCAUCCCAGGCUCUGGCCCUGGGGGUCGUGGGUUCGAAUCCCACCCGGGCUACCA